AGGGGGCUAGCGUUGCUCGGAAUCACUGGGCGUAAAGCGCACGUAGGCGGGUCUUUAAGUCAGGGGGGAAAUCCCGGAGCUCAACUCCGGAACUGCCUUUGAUACUGGGGAUCUUGGAGUCCGGGAGAGGUGAGUGGAACUGCGAGUGUAGAGGUGAAAUUCGUAGAUAUUCGCAAGAACACCAGUGGCGAAGGCGGCUCACUGGCCCGGUACUGACGCUGAGGUGCGAAAGCGUGGGGAGCAAACAGG
This 249-nucleotide ribosomal RNA is filed under the name uncultured bacterium. RNAcentral's name for it is "partial 16S ribosomal RNA". It matches the Rfam family "Bacterial small subunit ribosomal RNA", at positions 529 to 776 of the family's 1533-position model. The record is from RNAcentral.